UUGAAUAAAUCUGACGUGGUUGUAGCUGGCUCUCAGGAGUAUGUGCUCGCCCGUCACCUUUAUCUUUCCACCUGUGCACACACUGUAGUCCUGGAUACCUCUCGUCGAAAGGCGGAUGCAGAGGUUGCUGGUUCCGCAAUGGGGCCAAGCUUUCUCUGAAUUUCCAGGUCUAUGAUUUUUACACACCCCAAAGAAUGUCUCAGAAUGUUUUCAUAAGGCCCUCGUGCCUAUAAAACCUAUA
This 241-nucleotide unclassified non-coding RNA is filed under the name uncultured Coprinopsis. RNAcentral's name for it is "sequence contains ITS1". The record is from RNAcentral. Lineage: Eukaryota; Fungi; Basidiomycota; Agaricomycetes; Agaricales; Psathyrellaceae.